RNAcentral lists this ribosomal RNA (492 nucleotides) under uncultured bacterium. RNAcentral describes it as "partial 16S ribosomal RNA". It matches the Rfam family "Bacterial small subunit ribosomal RNA", at positions 29 to 507 of the family's 1533-position model. The record is from RNAcentral.
AGUGAACGCUGGCGGUAGGCCUAACACAUGCAAGUCGAACGGCAGCACAGUAAGAGCUUGCUCUUACGGGUGGCGAGUGGCGGACGGGUGAGGAAUACAUCGGCAUCUACUUUUUCGUGGGGGAUAACGUAGGGAAACUGACGCUAAUACCGCAUACGACCUACGGGUGAAAGCAGUGGAGCUUCGGACCUUGCGCGAUUGAAUGAGCCGAUGUCGGAUUAGCUAGUUGGCGGGGUAAAGGCCCACCAAGGCGACGAUCCGUAGCUGGUCUGAGAGGAUGAUCAGCCACACUGGAACUGAGACACGGUCCAGACUCCUACGGGAGGCAGCAGUGGGGAAUAUUGGACAAUGGGCGCAAGCCUGAUCCAGCCAUACCGCGUGGGUGAAGAAGGCCUUCGGGUUGUAAAGCCCUUUUGUUGGGAAAGAAAAGCAGCAGGUUAAUACCCCGCUGUUCUGACGGUACCCAAAGAAUAAGCACCGGCUAACUUCGUG